GUUCCCGUAGCUUAAAUUCUGCAAAGCGCGGUCCUGAAGUUGCCGUGAUGGAUAAACUACUUUUUCCCGGAAACA
RNAcentral lists this transfer RNA (75 nucleotides) under Gehyra marginata. RNAcentral describes it as "tRNA-Phe". Lineage: Eukaryota; Metazoa; Chordata; Lepidosauria; Squamata; Gekkonidae. The record is from RNAcentral.